RNAcentral lists this ribosomal RNA (247 nucleotides) under Staphylococcus aureus. RNAcentral's name for it is "partial 16S ribosomal RNA". It matches the Rfam family "Bacterial small subunit ribosomal RNA", at positions 1 to 237 of the family's 1533-position model. Lineage: Bacteria; Bacillati; Bacillota; Bacilli; Caryophanales; Staphylococcaceae. The record is from RNAcentral.
UUUAUGGAGAGUUUGAUCCUGGCUCAGGAUGAACGCUGGCGGCGUGCCUAAUACAUGCAAGUCGAGCGAACGGACGAGAAGCUUGCUUCUCUGAUGUUAGCGGCGGACGGGUGAGUAACACGUGGAUAACCUACCUAUAAGACUGGGAUAACUUCGGGAAACCGGAGCUAAUACCGGAUAAUAUUUUGAACCGCAUGGUUCAAAAGUGAAAGACGGUCUUGCUGUCACUUAUAGAUGGAUCCGCGCU